GCGUCUGAUUAGCUAGUUGGUGGGGUAAAGGCUACCAAGGCGACGAUCAGUAGCCGACUGAGAGGGUGAUCGGCCACACUGGAACUGAGACACGGUCCAGACUCUACGGGAGGCAGCAGUGGGGAAUAUUGCACAAUGGGCGAAAGCCUGAUGCAGCAACGCCGCGUGAGCGAUGAAGGCCUUCGGGUCGUAAAGCUCUGUCCUAAGGGAAGAAUAAUGACGGUACCUUAGGAGGAAGCCCCGGCUAACUACGUGCCAGCAGCCGCGGUAAUACGUAGGGGGCAAGCGUUAUCCGGAAUCACUGGGCGUAAAGGGUGCGUAGGCGGCCAAAUAAGCCAGAGGUGAAAGGCUACGGCUCAACCGUAGUAAGCCUUUGGAACUGUAUGGCUUGAGUGCAGGAGAGGAGAGUGGAAUUCCUAGUGUAGCGGUGAAAUGCGUAGAUAUUAGGAGGAACACCAGUGGCGAAGGCGACUCUCUGGACUGCAACUGACGCUGAGGCACGAAAGCGUGGGGAGCGAACAGGAUUAGAUACCCUGGUAGUCCGCGCCGUAAACGAUGAGUGCUAGGUGUCGGGGGUUCACACCCUCGGUGCCGGAGUUAACGCAUUAAGC
Molecule: ribosomal RNA, 611 nt
Filed under: uncultured Clostridium sp.
Lineage: Bacteria; Bacillati; Bacillota; Clostridia; Eubacteriales; Clostridiaceae
Also listed under: 1 other name
Description: bacterial SSU rRNA
Rfam family: Bacterial small subunit ribosomal RNA
Source: RNAcentral